This 497-nucleotide ribosomal RNA is filed under the name uncultured bacterium. RNAcentral describes it as "partial 16S ribosomal RNA". It matches the Rfam family "Bacterial small subunit ribosomal RNA", at positions 28 to 507 of the family's 1533-position model. The record is from RNAcentral.
GAUGUACGCUGGCGGCGUGCCAAAUACAUGCAAGUCGAGCGAACGGACGAGAAGCUUGCUUCUCUGAUGUUAGCGGCGGACGGGUGAGUAACACGUGGAUAACCUACCUAUAAGACUGGGAUAACUUCGGGAAACCGUAGCUAAUACCGGAUAAUAUUUUGAACCGCAUGGUUCAAAAGUGAAAGACGGUCUUGCUGUCACUUAUAGAUGGAUCCGCGCUGCAUUAGCUAGUUGGUAAGGUAACGGCUUACCAAGGCAACGAUGCAUAGCCGACCUGAGAGGGUGAUCGGCCACACUGGAACUGAGACACGGUCCAGACUCCUACGGGAGGCAGCAGUAGGGAAUCUUCCGCAAUGGGCGAAAGCCUGACGGAGCGACGCCGCGUGAGUGAUGAAGGUCUUCGGAUCGUAAAACUCUGUUAUUAGGGAAGAACAUAUGUGUAAGUAACUGUGCACAUCUUGACGGUACCUAAUCAGAAAGCCACGGCUAACUACGUG